This is a long non-coding RNA of Ruditapes philippinarum (Manila clam), 1085 nucleotides long. RefSeq lists it as uncharacterized. The record is from RefSeq and is a predicted model, not a curated record. Lineage: Eukaryota; Metazoa; Mollusca; Bivalvia; Venerida; Veneridae. The transcript has 2 exons.
CCAUUCUCCUAUAAUUGAAGCACUUUUUAAUAAUUCCUGUCUCCACUUUUAAAAUCGUAGUAAAAUUUACAGACGAGCUUAAUCCUUUGUGACAAACAUUUAAAUAAGUACACUGGGAUGUUCUCAGCAGCUUAACUUAAAUUUUGUAGCGUGGAUGCUCCUCGUUUUUCAUUUGUGUUAAACUGAAAAGGUAUAGUAACUGCAAAAAAGCGCUGUCGCUUGACCAAUUAAAGUUUAAGAUUGGUGAAAAAAACAAUCCAUUUCUAUGUUUUCCAACAAAUUUUUGCCUUAAAUCAAUACAAUAUUGAUAAUAGAUUACGAAUUACAUAAGAAGUUCGAGACAGAGACCCUUAUUUUCCAUGAUUUUCUUUAAAUGCUGCCGUCGCCGAAAUGCAACUAUGGUACCGUAACGAUUUUAAACUGGAAUGUAACGAUCUUGAGAUGCGUUAUAUUCUUUUAAAUUUGUACUCAAAACAAUAUCAAAAGACUAUAUUUGGAAUAAAAUUGAUAAAUUAGACUCCUGCGAUGAUACAUUUCAACACAAACCGUUUUAUUGUAAAUAAUUCAAAUGUCGCGUUUAAAAUGCUAUGCCUCCGUAACGGGCGUUUACUUUUAAAUAUACAUUUUACCAAUCAAAUAAAAAUUUCAAAAUAUUGUUUUGUAUUUCUGUAAAUGAAAAACACCAAAAUGAGAUGUCGUUUGCACAAAAAUGUGAUAACUCUGACCCGUAGAAGUCUAAUUUCACUAUGUUUCCAUAACGACUAUUUUCCGUAACAAAAAGAUCAUCCGAAUUUCGGUACAGUACACGGUUCAAUUGACGGUGCGUCUUUUUUGCCUAUCACCGCUCCCAAUGAUACGUCACUUAGAGAAUGGUGCUUUUAAAAACAGAAAUACAAGAGACAAAGCAGAGAGGGGAAAACAACAAAUCAUUUAAAAGAGAAAGAAAGCAGAAAAAAGUAUGUUCCCAUUCAAAAAAGAAAAAGCACUGGUGAAGAAAAUGUAGAGGAAACUACAUGAAACAUUAUAACAUUACAACAAAUUUGUUAAAUUAGGCAGAAAUAAAGCAAAUAAAAGUGAAAAAAAAA